CCAUAACCAUUCCCACUUUGGAGGAUAUUUUCAAGAUUCACAUCAAUUAUUUCUUGUUUAAGGCCUCCACCUAUAUGAACCAAUAAAAUUCAUUAGCAUAGUAAAUAGUAAGAUAGAGCUCAUGAACUUUUAUUCUUUAUUAAUAGAUGGUAAUUAGUGAUUGACUGACUCUUUAUAUGACUCUUUAUAAGUAUUGUGUACCCUUAAUAUUUCCAUUAAUAUUAUCUUUGGUUAUCAAAAAUAAAUUUAAAUGUCCUUUAAUAGUGCAAAAAUAAUCUAAGAUGAAAUUUAAUGUGUGCAUGUGAUGUAAAUAAAAUAAUAUUAAAGAAGGAUGAUAUGUAAGUAAAAUUCAAGUCAUACAUAUAGAGGCAUCAACACUGGCAACAGAUGUCACAUUAGAAGGAAUAAGUGCUGUGUUUUCAUCAAUAACUGGUUCUUCACCUGGCCCACCCAACAAAUCUACAAAAUCAUUCCAUUGCAUUAUAUUCAACUUUUUUAAUCAAAUAUAUAUUAGAAUCAUUCCUCCACAAAAUUCAUGCUACUUAACAAAAUAUGAAAGAUAUAUACAGACAUAUGAAUGGACCUAUAUAUACUUAAUUACCUGUGUAUUCUCCAUCAACUUUAACCUCCAAAGUAAUCUCUGGCUGUUUAUUGUUUGCAGCCAUGAUAACUCUCCAAUCACUAUCUUUUGAUGAGGAAUCAGUUUCUUGUUGUUUGGGUACAGAGGCUUCAUUAGCCCCACCUACAACUCCCCAAUCACCCCAAAAGUGUUUCUUCCUUGGUGCAACUCGACCUUUUGGGUCUUGUGAUGUCACAUUAUUCCCAUCAAUGCUUCCGAUACCUGAAGAUCAAGUUAAAUAGGAAUAGUUUGUGGUUUAUCUUAUCCAGUGUUUUAAACCGUGGUUGCAAUUGGGAUCAUGGUUGCAGUUAUUGCAAUGUGGUUUGAUACAGCCUGAUGUACUUGUGUUGCGGUCUAAUAUAUUGGGUAUUCUAAGUGUGAAUGAAGAAGUCUUAUAUUGGACAAAAGUGGAUGGACCCAUAGACCUAAUGCAUUAAGGUUUUGAGUCAAGAUGUGGUGUCAAGCCCAUCUAUAUGCUUCUUUCACUUAGCUCAUAGAAGAAUGUUAUAACUCAUGGAUGAAGAUAUUCCAAUAGAAUAUGAUCACAUCAUUUUGAUUCUAUGUCAAAUCACAAUUACUGUAUGGUGCAACCACAAUAUUGUGGUUGUAUGACGUGAUUAAAGAGCCCUAUAUAGAACAUUAGUAGAUCUCAAUAGAUAAUACUG
RNAcentral lists this long non-coding RNA (1284 nucleotides) under Lupinus angustifolius (narrow-leaved blue lupine). Its description in RNAcentral is "long non-coding RNA (LANG_LNC000104)". The record is from RNAcentral. Lineage: Eukaryota; Viridiplantae; Streptophyta; Magnoliopsida; Fabales; Fabaceae.